Molecule: ribosomal RNA, 467 nt
Filed under: Globigerina bulloides
Lineage: Eukaryota; Foraminifera; Rotaliida; Globigerinidae
Description: bacterial SSU rRNA
Rfam family: Eukaryotic small subunit ribosomal RNA
Source: RNAcentral
GCACCACAAGAGCGUGGAGUAUGUGGCUUAAUUUGACUCAACGCGGAAAAGCUUAUCUGGUCCGGACACAGUGAGGAUUGACAGACAGUUAGACAGAAGUGAGGUUUUGGUAACAAUUGAGAGAGUUGAAGUUCUUUCAUGAUCUUGUGAGAGGUGGUGCAUGGCCGUUCUUAGUUCGUGUAGUGAUAUGUCUGCCUAAUCGCGUCACGAUAACCUAUUGGUCGACAACCCAAUUAUCACAACUGCAGCAUAACUCCCCUUGGGUGGGCGAGGCUCUGUGUAGGAUAGACCUCUGAACAGUACGCAACGAACGCGAUCGUAAUCCCUUGUUGAGUGGCCAUCCUGUAAGCUGCUGGAUUAGGAACCCAGUGGUAUUAUCUCAGCCACAGAUUUUCUGGUUGUAGUGGGCCAGUUUUGAAACUCGGGGAACAUCUGUGACUUUCUUUCUUAACGCAGAGGAAGGUUAU